Telopea speciosissima is the source of this 179-nucleotide long non-coding RNA. RefSeq lists it as uncharacterized. The record is from RefSeq and is a predicted model, not a curated record. NCBI's taxonomy places the organism in Eukaryota, Viridiplantae, Streptophyta, Magnoliopsida, Proteales, Proteaceae. The transcript has 2 exons.
AGUAAGGGUUCAGAAAUCAAAUUCCCUUCCUCCAAACAAUAUAAGGGAGAGUGAUGAUCUCACAAAUGUGGUCUCUAAAACUGAUGAUCCAGAGAAGAUCAUAAGGAGUAAUGCCUGGUGGACUAGGAGCAAUUUGGCGUUUCUGAAUGAACCUCCAGUGAUUUUAACAGAUGCUCCUU